RNAcentral lists this ribosomal RNA (468 nucleotides) under uncultured bacterium. Its description in RNAcentral is "partial 16S ribosomal RNA". It matches the Rfam family "Bacterial small subunit ribosomal RNA", at positions 28 to 507 of the family's 1533-position model. The record is from RNAcentral.
GACGAACGCUGGCGGCGUGCUUAACACAUGCAAGUCGAACGGAAAGGCCCUGCUUUUGUGGGGUGCUCGAGUGGCGAACGGGUGAGUAACACGUGAGUAACCUGCCCUUGACUUUGGGAUAACUUCAGGAAACUGGGGCUAAUACCGGAUAGGAGCUCCUGCUGCAUGGUGGGGGUUGGAAAGUUUCGGCGGUUGGGGAUGGACUCGCGGCUUAUCCGCUUGUUGGUGGGGUAGUGGCUUACCAAGGCUUUGACGGGUAGCCGGCCUGAGAGGGUGACCGGCCACAUUGGGACUGCGAUACGGCCCAGUCUCCUACGGGAGGCAGCAGUCGGGAAUAUUGCACAAUGGGCGGAAGCCUGAUGCAGCAAUGCCGCGUGCGGGAUGACGGCCUUCGGGUUGUAAACCGCUUUCGCCUGUGACGAAGCGUGAGUGACGGUAAUGGGUAAAGAAGCACCGGCUAACUACGUG